GUGCUCACUUUCGCAGCACAUAUUUAAAAAAUUGGAACGAUACACAGAAGACUGGAGUAGGCCUGUGCAAGGAUGACACGCAAAUUUGGGAAGCGUUCAAGAAGGGC
Molecule: small nuclear RNA, 107 nt
Organism: Amblyraja radiata (thorny skate)
Lineage: Eukaryota; Metazoa; Chordata; Chondrichthyes; Rajiformes; Rajidae
Source: RefSeq, a predicted model, not a curated record